RNAcentral lists this ribosomal RNA (294 nucleotides) under uncultured bacterium. Its description in RNAcentral is "partial 16S ribosomal RNA". It matches the Rfam family "Bacterial small subunit ribosomal RNA", at positions 775 to 1066 of the family's 1533-position model. The record is from RNAcentral.
GGAUUAGAUACCCUGGUAGUCCACGCCGUAAACGAUGAUAACUAGCUGUCCGGGGACUUGGUCUUUGGGUGGCGCAGCUAACGCAUUAAGUUAUCCGCCUGGGGAGUACGGCCGCAAGGUUAAAACUCAAAUGAAUUGACGGGGGCCUGCACAAGCGGUGGAGCAUGUGGUUUAAUUCGAAGCAACGCGCAGAACCUUACCAGCGUUUGACAUGUCCGGACGACUGGCAGAGAUGCCUUUCUUCCCUUCGGGGACUGGAACACAGGUGCUGCAUGGCUGUCGUCAGCUCGUGCC